GCCGGUGUAGCUCAGUUGGUAGAGCAACUGAUUCGUAAUCAGUAGGUCGAAGGUUCGAGUCCUUUCACCGGCACCA
Molecule: transfer RNA, 76 nt
Filed under: Gammaproteobacteria bacterium
Lineage: Bacteria; Pseudomonadati; Pseudomonadota; Gammaproteobacteria
Description: tRNA-Thr
Rfam family: tRNA
About the family: Transfer RNA (tRNA) molecules are approximately 80 nucleotides in length.
Source: RNAcentral